GCAGCAGCCGCGGGAAUACGAAGGGGGCUAGCGUUGUUCGGAAUUACUGGGCGUAAAGCGCACGUAGGCGGACAUUUAAGUCAGGGGUGAAAUCCCGGGGCUCAACCCCGGAACUGCCUUUGAUACUGGGUGUCUAGAGUAUGGAAGAGGUGAGUGGAAUUCCGAGUGUAGAGGUGAAAUUCGUAGAUAUUCGGAGGAACACCAGUGGCGAAGGCGGCUCACUGGUCCAUUACUGACGCUGAGGUGCGAAAGCGUGGGGAGCAAACAGGAUUAGAUACCCCAGUAGUCCCUGUCUCUUAUAC
RNAcentral lists this ribosomal RNA (302 nucleotides) under uncultured bacterium. RNAcentral describes it as "partial 16S ribosomal RNA". It matches the Rfam family "Bacterial small subunit ribosomal RNA", at positions 508 to 807 of the family's 1533-position model. The record is from RNAcentral.